GCAACGGGUAAGGUGAGGUACACUUGAACAAAAAGGGUGUCAAUUUGAUUUAGUUAUAUGAGAGAAUGAGCAGAUUAGCAUAAUAUUUUAAUUUGUCUUUUCUGCAUCUGAUUAAUGUUUGUGGCACUAUAAGAUUCAUAAUCCAAGCAUAUUUGAGUACAUUUUCACAAGUAGGGCAUGUAUGUUGUUACGUAAGAUCUGCCACAAGAAAAGAACAACGAAUAGAGUAACUCUCUCUCUCGGUGUAUGUUAUGUCAAGUAAGAUGCGUUGUAUGCUAAAGAUGAUUGUGUGUGUGAACAUGCUUUAAUUGUGUGAGUAAGAUGCGUAGUAUAUCAGUUUCAUGCUUUAAUUGUGUGAGUAAGAUGCGUAGUAUAUCAGUUUCAUGCUUUAAUUGUGUGAGUAAGAUGCGUAGUAUAUCAGUUUCAUGCUUUAAUUAUGUUCGUUUGUGAACAUCAUUGGAUCUGGAUGAAAGACUGCCAUAUGAAGCAAACUUAUCUUUAUAGAGAUGUAUAAUUCCUUUAGCAAAUAACAAUUUCAAACUAUACCCCCUACCUCAUAGUUAAUAUUUUCAAUUUAUUUCUAUCUCCAUGACAGAUGUCGAUUUGAAGUUACCAUUCACGAUGAUACUCAUUUGGCGACAAUAACAAUUUCAGACAAAAUUGGAGAUGAUAUUUUAAUAAUUAAUGUGUUCAAACCUAAAGGCACAUCUAGAUUGAUCAGGUUGGGAUAUUGUUGAAUUGGGGUGAACAGACUGUCAAGAAAGGUGCCUGAAGGCUGAAAUGAUGAGAAGGGUUACGAAUAAAAAAACUAUGGCGUAGUAAUUUCUAUGUUCUAUUAAUUAUUUUAGAAUUGUAUCUAGAUCUCAUGAUCCAUGAUAAAGAGAGAACACUAAGACUUAAUAUCUGACCCUACCCAGUAAAAGUUUUCACUUGGAAUAUUAUUUUAGAACUGGUAAGAAGAAAAAGUUAAUUUAGUAGUGACCAAAUCCUCCGAGUUCAGUAAAUGUGAAGCUUUAGCCAAAUUGUCCUCUCGUUUAUGUAAGACAUCAUUUUUCUUCCCCAUUUUACAGGAACACACUUGCAAAAGAAAAGAUAUUUGAUAUUAUUUUUGAGUUCUAGAGAUUUGUGUAAUGUACAAAGCGGAUGCUUUUGGUUUCUGACAUAUAUGUAAAAUAUGAUCGGCUUCUUUAUUGCAA
This is a long non-coding RNA of Solanum lycopersicum (tomato), 1196 nucleotides long. RefSeq lists it as uncharacterized. Lineage: Eukaryota; Viridiplantae; Streptophyta; Magnoliopsida; Solanales; Solanaceae. The record is from RefSeq and is a predicted model, not a curated record.